GCCCUGGGGUAGCGGAGGCGGCCGGGAGCGCUGGGGCUCCGGCGGCAAUUUAAAGGGCCUGGGGAUUUAAAGGCCCCGCCCCUUCUGCCCAAGGCCCCCCCCCCACACACCUUGCUUAGGACCCCGGCCCUGCAUACCGGAACAUACCUACAACGUUAACCGAGGAGUUAAUGUACAAGGUUUAGGAGACUCCGAUGAGACCUGCAAAUCAGCUCUACCAUCGCGUUUGCAUUCCUAAGCAGUGAAUCCCUGCCACCAGGUAUUCAGUGGCCAACGUGAACUGAGAUGUGGCUCCGUAUAGUGCCUUGUAGAGAGGCGUCUAGCUCUCAAAACUCACCAUCAUGCUUGUCAUCCUUGCUGGCAGUCUCAGUAGAGAGGUCAAGGACUCUACUGGAAGAGACUGAAUGAU
Long non-coding RNA from Mauremys mutica (yellowpond turtle), 409 nucleotides. RefSeq lists it as uncharacterized. The transcript has 3 exons. The record is from RefSeq and is a predicted model, not a curated record. Lineage: Eukaryota; Metazoa; Chordata; Testudines; Geoemydidae.